AGUAUGCCACAUAAUUUAGCAAGUAAGCCUCUAGCAUGGUAUUAUUGUAUCCUAAUAAGGGUUGGAAAGCAAGACAAGAGCAAAAAUGAGACUCAGAAGAUGUAAUGUUGCCUAGUAAGACAAUCUAAGAGAGGAAGUAAAUUAGGUUUUUCAAAAUUUAAAUAAAUAAUAUGCUGUUUUAAAAACUAGUGAAGUGUUGAUAAGUAUAGAAUUCAAGUAUGCAGAAAUAUAAAUACAAAAAAAAUUAGAAAGAAGAGCACAAGUACAAAUAUAUACAAUAUAUAGUGAUUUGAUGCUUCUUGCAUCUACGUCUACUCCCCA
Molecule: long non-coding RNA, 321 nt
Filed under: Elaeis guineensis (African oil palm)
Lineage: Eukaryota; Viridiplantae; Streptophyta; Magnoliopsida; Arecales; Arecaceae
Description: long non-coding RNA (EGUI_LNC003683)
Source: RNAcentral